This 209-nucleotide long non-coding RNA is filed under the name Elaeis guineensis (African oil palm). Its description in RNAcentral is "long non-coding RNA (EGUI_LNC064927)". The record is from RNAcentral. Lineage: Eukaryota; Viridiplantae; Streptophyta; Magnoliopsida; Arecales; Arecaceae.
UAGGAUCUAUGACAUGAUAUGUUGAAUAUAAAAUUUAAAAUAAUCACAUGAUAAAAUCUGCAUGCAUGGAUGUAAGUAGUAGAUCAAAUCUACAUCUAUCUGAGUUCAGAACUCGAUAUCUGAGCAUGAGUCGAUGAUCACUACUGUUGAGAGAUAUAGUAAGGAUGAUCUUUACUGAUUGCUCAUAGCUACAUAUGUAUCCGAUCACU